AGUAAUAUUCACGGAUGGAUUGGUUGAGGAACAUCAAGGGAGGAAUCAGAUGUUUUUCUUUAAUCUACAUUCGCUGUGGCUAAAAGACCUUCCCAAACUCACAAGUUUGUGCUUUGAUAAUUACUUUGAAUUUCACUGUUUGGCAUAUUUAGCACUAAUAAAUUGUCCAUUGCUAAAAACAUUCAUCUCUAAACGUGUACCCGGAGAUGAACCUCAAAUUGGCCAACAUGUACAGGCAAGUAACUUGGAGGUUCAUAACUCAUCUCUCCUCGAUGAAAAGGUCAUUUCUUCAUGGAUCCUCCUUUUAAUUUAUGUUACUUCGAUUUAUCUUAUUCAUUUGAGGUUCUUUCUUUUUCAUACAUAUUUCAGUUACUAACCUAAUGAAAUGAUUUAUUAGGUUGUUUUCCCUAGUUUGAAGACGUUGCGGAUUACGGGUUGUGAUUCGUUAGAAGAAAUUAUUGAGCUGCAAGGACUCAUUGCUGAUGAGUCACAGUCAACAUCAGCUGCUCAAUCUAUUGUGGCUGAAACAGUGACGACCAAGUUUGUAUUUCCCAAACUAAUAAACCUUGGAUUGUAUAAGGUACCGAGAUUGAAAAGUUUCUACUCUAGGAUGCAUAUCACCCAGUGGCCUUCAUUGAAAAAAAUGGACAUUAUUGGAUGCCCCAAAGUACAUAUAUUUACUCCACAAUGUCCUGAGAGUCAGGUUGGAAUCUCAAACCAACAACCCUUGUUUUGCGUCAACGAGGUAAGCUCACUAGCAGUUUCAUAUUCCAUGUUCAUUACUUGAGAUUACCUAUAAAAUGCUUUUUGAAAAAACUAAUAUUCUCUCCUCUUUUAAUUUUAUGAGAGUCUAGUUCUUACUAAUUUAAAACUUUUUCAUCGAUGUCUAAUAUAUUCAUUGCCAUCCAGGACACUUUCCCUGAAUUAGAAGAACUAACACUGAACACGAAUGAUGUGGUGAAGGAGAUAUGUGAUGGACAGCUCUCAUUGCAGUGUUUCCAAAACCUUAAACUUCUUAACCUCCGAUUCUUUCCUGAGACAUCCACUACUCUUCCAUAUUCCUUCAUUCGUUCGCUACCAAAGCUUCAGAAGCUUGUUAUAAACAAUGCUUCCAUUUCUGAAAUAGUCCGAUCUGAAGGACUUAGCGAAGAGGAAAGGCACACAUCGGUAUUCUAUCAGUUAAAGGACUUAAGGUUGUCUCAACUUCCAGAGUUGACGUUAAAGACUUUUAAACCAUCUUUGCUGUCUUUCAAAAAUCUAACAACACUGGAAGUUUCAAGCUGCCAUGGGUUCAUCAAUUUAAUCGCAUGCUCAACAGCUAAGUGCCUGACGCUACUGGAAAGAUUGAUCAUAGAUGAUUGUGAGAUGAUAGAGGAAAUCAUAGCGUGUGAGGCUGAAGAAAUACAAGGCGGCAUUGUAUUUCCCAAAUUGCAGUAUUUGCAACUAAGUUGUCUUCCAUGUCUAGCAAGCUUUUCCUUGGCCCCUCACUCGUUGGAAUUCCCAGUCUUGCUAAUGGUGAUAGUGACAAAGUGCCCCCAAAUGAGGAAUUUCUGCCAAGGAGAUUUAAGCACACCAAGGCUGGAACAAAUGCACUUAACAAGAGAUGAGGAAGGUGAACUGCAGUGGGAAGGCGACCUUAACACUACCAUAAAACAUAUGUUCGAUGAAAUAGUACAAAUCAUUUAAAGGAUUUAAAUUCAUGUGUUUUUACAUACAUACAUACAUACAUACAUACAUAGUUAAUUGAACAAUUCUUGGUUUGUUAUGACCAUGCACAGAAUGUGCAAAAUUCUGAGCCGACGGAGGUUACUAAUCAGUUGCCCAAGCUGGAAUAAGGAAAUAUGUUUGGGUGCUUAUGCGAAAAGCUCAAUUUCGUUUGAAUUCAAAACAAAUGGUAAUUGACUCCUCUAUUUUCAUCAUGGUUUAACUAAUGCUUUAUAAAGUGACCAUAGAGACGCCCUUUUCAUUAUAGGUUGAGUUGCUCUACUGAAGUACGAGGCAGCAACUUUUGGUAAAAUGUGAAAGGUUAUUUCAGUUUUUGUAAAACUACUGUUUGGACUGUUCCAUUUCACAUUAUACCCUCAAAAUUGAACUUCAAGUGUAUCAUGAAUGGCAUUGGGCUACAAACAUGUAAACUUUUACUAGUAAGGUUGACCCCUGUUUUAAGGAUUUGCCAACUUUUGAUGGUUACCAUAUCAAUGUCAACUUAAAGCUAUCAAGUAUCUUCACAAAUAUUGUUGACACCAUUUUUUGGAUGAAAAAAAAACGGGGUCGACUUGGGUUUUGACAAAAACGAAAAAACGGGAGUCGCCACCAAUCCUUUUUAAUGAGGUGUGAUUGGAUCACCUCAAAAACUAGUUGUUUCUAAUAAACGGUUUAAUUUUAUUAAAACAACGAUUUUGGUCCACGAAAUUCAGAAAACGGGUUCGGGAGUCGGUUACGUACGAGGAAGGAUUAGCACCCUCGUAACGCCCAAAAUUGGUACCUAGUUGAUUAGUUAAUGUCUUGAUGUCGAAAAUUGAUAACUUAAAAGAAUUUUAAAAAAUACGAUCCUUGAUUAAAACGUUAAGAGAAAAUUUUUUUGAGAAAAGAAGCACAUUUCACGUUAAUUGAGAAAUAUACGUCAUAUCCAGUGAGUUAGGAUACAAUGUCUCGAAUUCUCGAUGCGUAAAAAUGCUUGUUUAAAAGACAUUUUAGCUAUCUCGGAUUUAAAAAAGGAGAUCACGACCAGUAAGUUAGGACGCGAUUUUUUUUUUAAUUCCCGAUAUCAUUUAAAACUUGAGUUUAAAAAAAAUCGUGUAAUAAAGUUUAAAAGAAUAUUCAAUUGUUUAAAUCAAAUGAAGAAAUCGCAACCCAAUACGUUAAGGCACAAUUUCUCAAAAUAUUAAACAUUGAAUACUGCAUUUAUUUCGGAAAAAAAAAACCUCGUCUCGAGAAAACAACGUGUCACAUCCAAUGCGUUAGGACACAACGUAUUGAAUUCUCGAUAACGAGCUUUUUAUCAUUUUUAAAAGAGUAAUCUCGAUUAUUUAAAUUCAACGAAGAAAAUCAGAACCCAUUAUGUUAGGGCUCGAUUCUCUCGAAGUUCCAAAUACCGAGUAUUACUCAUAUUUUUAAAUUUUCUUCUUUUUUGAAAUCUAGAUAAAAAUAGGUGUAAUGGAAUAACAAUAAUGAUGAUGUAAUUAAAAUAAUACAAGCAAAGGCUACGAAGUAAAAUAAAUACAGAGACGAACUAAUAUAAUAUACAAUCACAAGCAUAUAAGCAAUAAAAUUAAAACAUUCAUUCUAAAUAAUGAAAAUGUAAAUGAAGAAAUGAACAAAGAAAAUGUAUAAAACUAUAAAAAAAUAAAACAUACAUAUGUGUAUAUACAUAAAAUUAUGGAAAUAUAAAAAAUAUAUGUAUGUACAUAUUUUAAAAUCAUUAUAAAAUAUAUAUAAGUAAACAUAUACAUAUAUACGUAUGUAACUAUCAUAAAAUAUAAAAAGUAUAUAUAUAGAUACAUAUAUAUAUAUGAGUCAUAGAAUAUAAAUAACAUAUAUAAGAUACAUAUUUAAAAUAUGAAGAAUGUAAGUAUAAAUAUAUUUAUGAAAAUAGAAUACAUAUAUAGACAUGUAUAUAGAUGUGUAUAAAAUUACGAAAUAUAAAAUAUAAGGGUAUUAGUAUGUGUAUAUAUAUAUAGACAGAUAGAUAGAUCAUAAAAAAAAUAUGGAUAUUAUAUAUAUAUAACAUGAAAACGCAUAUAUGUAUAUAUAACAAAGAUUCCAAAUAAAAAAUAAAUGAACAACUUAAUAAUAACAGUAAUAAUAUUAUUUUAUAAAAAAGGGAAAUAAACAAUAACAAAAGGACUAAAUUAAACAUUGAAACAAGAUUUGGGGUUUAAAAUUGCAAAUAAAAGGUUCAAGGGCUGGAAUGAAUCACGCACAAAGUGCAAAGGACUGAUCGGACAAUAUGCCCAAGUCCUGAAGGCACAACAUUCGUGCGCUGAUUAAAUUGAAUCAUAAAGAAAUUUCGUGGGGCCAAAUUAAAGAAAAUAAAUAAACAAGCAAAAGGACUAAAUUAAAACAAUCAACAACGAGGAAGGGCCAAGGGCAUAAAUAGCCCACUUCAUGAAAACGCGCGGAUCCCCUCCUACCGGGUCGGGUCGCACGCGGGUCCAGAGGCAGAACGAUGUCGUUUCGACGCCCAUAUGCAGUCACAAAACGGCGCCGUUUCUAUUAUGGUAUUUAAGCCCAAUUUUCUACAAAAAAAAUUUCAGCAACUGUUUGUUUUAAGAAAAAUCCAAAAAAAAAAACCUUUCCUCCUCCCCUCUCAAACAUCCGGCCUUUAGGUCUCCUUAGCGCCGCCAUUGCGCCACCGUGGACGGUGGCCGGCGUUGCGCAAAAGGGGCAUUCUAGUCUCGGUUUUGAGACCCGAUCGAAGGCUUUACUCGCAUAGCCUGAAGAUCAAGAGGCAGGACCCCCUAACUCAAACUUUCGGGGCCGAUUUCAACGACGGGCAGACCCCGACGGCAACGCAACCGAAAGACGAAACGGGUAAGUCCUCCUCUUCCUUUUUAUUUACUAUCUUUAUAUAUAUAUGUAUGUAAACAAAAAGAAAAGAGAACAAAAAAAUAACUUCAAAACUGAAAAGAAAAGAAAAGAAACCUUGAAUCUGUUUUUGUUUCCUUUUUCUCUAUUAAUGCCUUUUUUCUUUACAAAAAUCGAAACCCCCUUUACAAAGGUUUUUCAAUCGGUUUUUGAACCAAAAAUAAUACCCCCCGUUGCUUGUUGUUGUUGUUCUCUUUAUUAUUUACAGGUGAAGCAGGUGGCGAUGGGAUAAGGUGAACGGCGGUGGCAGAAGGCUAGGCUGCAAAAGGCGUACGGUGCUGAGCAAGGCAGGGAACCCUAGGGUUCCUUGAUGCUUGUUUAAUUUUUGUGCCCAAUUGGGCCAAUUUAGAUUUUGGGCAUUGGGCCUUGUGUUUUGGGUUGAAUUUAGCUUGUUAGGCUGGGGUAUUUUGGGUUAAUGGGCCCCGGGAAAAUUUAGGCUUCUACAGCUGCCUCUCUUUGCUCGUUGUCGUGUAACGAGAACAGAGCAAAGACUAAGAAAGACCAAAUUUGCCCAGUCUUGCCGAGUCUUGACUUCUCUUGACGCUUCUCUUCUUCACGUAGCCUCAUUCCAGUCUACUGUGUCUUGUCGUUUCGAUCCACUCCACUGCACCUCAGAAAGAUCUGACUUGUAGCUUCAAUCUUCUUCGCAACAACUUCAGAGAGAGAAGAUCGGUGGUUUUGAUCCGCUCCACUGCAACUUCAUAGAGAUAAGACUGGAUGCGGUCUGCUCUACUGCAACUUUAGAGAGAUAAGAUCUGUGGUUUUGAUCCGCUCCACUACUGCUUAAGGAGGAUAAGAUUGAUUUCUUCAAUCUGCUCCACUGCAACCUCAGGGAGAUAAGAUUGGAUGUGAUCUGCCCUACUGCAACUUCAGAGAGAUAAGAUCUGUGGUUUUAAUCCGCUCCACUGCAACUUCAGGGAGAUAGGAUUGGCUUCUUCAAUCUGUUUAACUGCAAUGUCGGGGAAGUAAGACUCGCCGUCGUAGCUUCAAUGUAUUCCACUACACCGUCAGGGAAAGUAAGAUUCGUCAUUGUGGCCUUGAUCUUUUAAUUGCAAUGUUGGGGAAGCAAGAUUCGCCGUUGUAGCUUCAAUGUAUUCCACUACACCGUCAGGAAAAGUAAGAUUCGCCGUUGUGGCCUCAAUAUUUUAAUUGCAAUGUCGGGGAAGCGAGAUUCGCUGUCGUAGCUUCAAUCUGUUCCGCUGCAUCACCUGGGAAGUAAGAUUUGCCUUUGUGGCUUCAAUCUUUUAAUUGUAAUGUCGGGGAAGCAAGAUUCGCCGUUGCAGCUUCAAUCUAUUCCGCUGCAUCCCCUGGAAAGUAAGAUUCGCCGUUGUGGCUUCAAUCUUUUUAACUGCCGGGGAAGCAAGAUCCGCUGUUGUAGCUUCAAUCUGUUCCACUGCAACGCUAGGAAAGUAAGAUCCGCUGUUGUAGCUUCAAUCUUUUUAAUUGCCGGGGAAGCAAGAUCCGCUGUUGUAGCUUCAAUCUGUUCCACUGCAACGCUAGGAAAGUAAGAUCCGCUGUUGUAGCUUCAAUCUUCUUAAUUGCAAUGUCAGGAAGCGAGAUUCGCUGUCGUAGCUUCAAUCUGUUCCGCUGCAUCACCUGGGAAGUAAGAUUUGCCUUUGUGGCUUCAAUCUUUUAAUUGUAAUGUCGGGGAAGCAAGAUUCACCGUUGUAGCUUCAAUCUGUUCCGCUGCAUCGCCUGGAAAGUAAGAUUCGCCGUUGUGGCUUCAAUCUUUUUAACUACCGGGGAAGCAAGAUCCGCUGUUGUAACUUCAAUCCGUUCCAUUACAACGCUAGGAAAGUAAGAUCCACUGUUGUAGCUUCAAUCUUUUUAAUUGCCGGGGAAGCAAGAUCCGCUGUUGUAGCUUCAAUCUGUUCCACUGCAAUGCUAGGAAAGUAAGAUCCGCUGUUGUAGCUUCAAUCUUUUUAAAUGCAAUGUCAGGGAAGUAAAAUCUGCUGUUGUAGCUUCAAUCUAUUCUGCUGCAUCGCUAGGAAAGUAAGAUCCGCUGUUGUAGCUUCAAUCUUUUUAAAAGCAAUGUCAGGGAAGUAAGAUCCACUAUUGUAGCUUCAAUCUGUUCCACUGCAACACUAGGAAAGUAAGAUCCGCUGUUAUAGCUUCAAUCUUUUUAAUUGCAAUGUCAAGGGAGUAAGAUCCGCUGUUGUAGCUUCAAUUUGUUCCACUGCAACGCUAGGAAAGUAAGAUCCGCUGUUGUAGCUUCAAUCUUCUUAAUUGCAAUGUCAAGAAAGUAAGAUCCGCUGUUGUAGCUUCAAUCUGUUCCACUGCAACGCUAGGAAAGUAAGAUCUGAUGUUGUAGCUUCAAUCUUCUUAAUUGCAAUGUCAGGGAAGUAAGAUCCGCUGUUGUAGCUUCAAUCUGUUCCACUGCAAUGCUAGGAAAGUAAGAUCCGCUAUUGUAGCUUCAAUCUUUUUAAUUGCAAACUAUGGUUUCUUCUAUCUGUUUCGCUGUCAGUACAGGAAUGCAAGAUUUGCUAUCUUCAUUCUGCUCCGCUGUCAGUACAGGAAAACAAGGCUGGUGUCUUCGAUUUACUUCACUGCCAGUACAGGAAGGCAUGAUCUGCUAUCUUCAUUGAUCUGUUCUCUGGUGAACAUGACCUUUAUGUUCUAUUUUAUAAACCUAAUUGUGCCUAGUGAUUAGGAUGACAUGAUCAGAACGAAACAAAUGCUCCUAACUAGAUGUGUAUGAAUGACAUUUGAAUGAAUGCAAAAUGUCAUGAAAAUGAUUCUUUAAUGCUUAGGUUAUCAUCACGCAAAAGCUUAUUAAGGUUAUAUCACUGACGUGCUACAAUGCCUUCUUGCUCAGCUAACAUAUCCAAAGAAACACUUAAUCUGAUUGCCCCCCACUGUGAACGUCAAAGUUCAAUCCACAGGGACAUAAAAUUUGUACCAUCAAUCUCCCACUAUAACCCAAGGGUAGAAAGAUAUGGCUUUUCUCAAUCUUCUCCUAUCGCAAUUCAAGGAUACAAGAUCUAAAUCCUUCUGGUCCCUUACACCAUUCCGAGGGUGUCGUAUCAAAGACUCAUGUGCAAAUGAGGGUUCUCUUCCCCGAGGUAACCUCUUCCUAUUGCCUGAUGAUCAUUGCUUUCUUGUUUAUUCAAGCUUUGUCACCAACAUGGCGUCUUGUCAAUCAACGCAUUUGACAACAAAAAAUCUAAAGAAAGUCUAAAUUUAGACUAUUCCUUCCCAAAUUUCCAACUUUAAAUUUGGUGUGUUAUAAACAAUAGUCAUGCUUUAGGCUCCAAUAUUAUUUAGAAACUUUUCAGAGUAAUAUGCAAAACUUCCUUUGUGAAAGUUUUAUUAGUCCAUUAAUCAUUAUUCUAAUACAACAUGCUUUGCAAAAAGGGUCUUAACAAUGAAUAAGAAUAAAAUUGGUUCUGAGCAUAGCUCGAAAAGAAUAAAUUACCAAAAAUAAUAAAGAAGGAUAAUGAAGAAAUUGAUCGGGAAUGUAUAUCUUGGAAAAGAAAAAGGUAUUCCAAGAACAACAAAUUUAAUAUAGAUAAUAUGAUAAUUGGGUGCCCAGACAUCGCAGCUUGAACUUCUCUGUACGAACUUUCUGAAGACCAUUUUGAGUUGGACAUGUGCUUAGGAGAUCUACAAUGCUCUGUCGAUACCCAAGAUGUCGCCUAUCCUUUCUUGUUGAUUCAGGCACAGCAAGAUCACCACAUGCCCCAAUAUGAUCAAAAUUCGAAUCGCUCUGAUCGCCUCAUGCCCCAUUCUGAACAAAUAUUUGAGCCGCCCUUUUCGGGUUUUCAACUCAAAUCCCCUUUGGCCUAAGGCGCCCUUUUUCGGGUUUUCCCCUUAGCCUCUCCAUUUUUCAUUUUCAUUUUUCAUUUUUCAUUUUUCAUUUUUCAUUUUUCAUUUUUCAUUCUCAUUUUUCAUUUUUCAUUUUUCAUUUUUCAUUCUCAUUUUUCAUUUUUCAUUUUUUUUACUUAGAGUGCUCUUUGCAGGCUUUCACAUUAGUCAUCUCUCCUUCUUUAAACGAAGUAUUUCUUGACUAGAUCUGAGUUUAUAGGACUAGAAAUCUCACUCAGGAUCAACGCUCUUCUGAGGAAUGUCUUCUUUACAACGUAGGGACAUUCCCAGUUUGGCAUUCAUUUCCCUCUGGAAUCCUUUUGGAGAGGAAUGAUCUUUUGACAUCCAACCCUCUCGUGGAAUUCUCUGAGAUGACACUGUUCGUUAUGGGCUCGUAUCAUUUGUUUCCGGUACAUCCAACCCUGAAGAAUAGCUUUUAACCUUUUUCCUAGGUUCAACUGAUCGCAUCGCGAUUGAAUCCAUUCUGCUUCAUCCAAUUCUAGCUCAACUAAUACUCGGAGAGAAAGGAUUUCAAUAGGUAAAACUACCUAAACCCUGCAAACCAAAGAGAAAGGUAUUGCCUCGGUAUAGAUGCUCGACAAGCAAGGAAGACAAAUAGUAAUUUCUCAUGCCAGUCUCUGUCAUUUUCCUUCAAUUUUCGAUGUUAAACUCUAGGCAAUUCAGUGGCGAAUCGUGGAGUCCACUUCUGAGUUGAUUUGAGAACUCAGCUAUCGUGAUAUUGUUUAAGCUCAAUGCAUUCUCCAAUACCCUUUUCUCUGAAAUUUUGUAUCGGAAUACGAUGACUUUUGAUCAUGAAGUAGCCUCUCAAAAUGAAGCAAUGCCCAUUAGAAGUCUUCGAUAAUGGUGAUGUCCAUGCCCCAUUGUGCUCGAAAUUUGAGUCGCCUUUUUUGGGUUUUCAACUCAAAACCACAUUUGGUCACAAAGCGCCCUUUACAGGUUUUCGCUUUGGCCUCUCCUUUUUUCUUUUUUAUUCUGAUUUUUUCAUCCAGAUUUCUCUUUUUCAUUCUUCUUUCUUUUUCUCAUUUUCAUUUUGAUCUUGAUUUUGAUUUUUUUCUUUCUUCUUUUUUUUUGAUUUUUUUCAUUUUCAUUUUCAUUUUCAUUUUGACUUUGACUUUGAUUUUGAUUUUUCUUUUUCUUCCCUUUUUGAUCUGAGCCUUUUGGUGGGCAACUUCGACAGAAAACUUUGGAUCUUCCUCUUUAAUCAGGAUGGACCCAACAACAACUUGAAGAGAUAGAAAUUUGACUUCAAAUGGGCAAAGCUAUGCUGACUCCACGUGAAAGGCAUUGCCCCGGCAAAGAAUUACAUCGUUCAUACUGCAAAUUUCUGACAUCGUGCUGUUGUGCAGAUUUCAUUAUCGGCGUUUAACCCGGGGCAUAUCCUGGUAUGAUCAUACGAAGACAUCUAUGAACCUUAGAGGUCACUCAAUAAGGUGUUGCUUCGUCUUUGCGGUCAAGUUAAUUCUAAUCUUCACCAAGUCCACAAUUCCUUAUGAGGUAGGAUCUGUCUAUCCUCUUAUUCUACCAUCCUCAACAAGUUCGGAGCUAAGCUACGAUCUAUGUCAUUUCCAAAGUCGUGAGAUCCGUCUAAACACAUACCUCUCUCAAGAGGAAAAUCUGAGUCUGUAGCAGUAUCACUCAUGUCAUUGAUAUCUGGGAACUCAUUGUAAGUACAAAAGGAUAUACAAAGAAUAUAUGAAGUUGUACAAUAUGUUUAUGAAUGCAAUAGUGAUUUGGAAGAAAGAAUAAAAGAAUACAAAUAAUCAUUGAUAAGAAAUGAAGAAUAUUGAUUCAAAAAAGAUCGCAAAGAUGCAUUCCAUUAAAAUAAUGACAUUCAGACUGAGCCUAUUUCACAAAAGAGUUCUUAUUGCCUCUAGGCUAAAAGCAACAAGUGUGUUCUGAAUAUUACUCUGAGUAAACUCUAAAUACUACAGGGGUCUCUUCUGCAGUCUAAUUAUUCAGAACACUCUCAAGUUUAGAAGGGCGAACAUCUAAUAAGAUAUCUUCUCCAAUUGUUUCUUCAUAUUCGGCACGGAUGUGAACAUUUCCUAACAUUUCUUCAUUCAUCGCAUUCCCUUCAUUAUCCAUAUGAUUGAGCAGCGGGUUUUCUGUACUGAGUGAAUCCUCAAAUUUAACAAUGCCCAUAUUGAUAAACCUUUCGACCAGCUUUUUAAAGGCAGUGCAUUUUUCUAUAGAAUGCCCUGUAAUUCCCGCAUGAUAGUCACAUCGCGCAUUUGUGUCGUACCAUUUGGGAUACGGAGGUUGUAAAGGCUUCAAGUAGAAAUGGGAGACAACAUGUGCGUCAAAUAAACUAUGAUACAACUCCUGGUACGACAUUGGGAUUGGUGCAAAUUGUGACUUUUCAGUACCUGGUUUCACUCCAGAUUCUUGCUUUAAAGGGCUCUGAUGGCUAGUGGUCUUCGUCUUUGGUUUGCCCACAGUGAUUAGUUUUGAGUGGCCCUUGUUAUAUUCGCCUGCGUUUUCCUUUUUAUUCCCCUUCUUCCUUGGGGCCUUUAUAGUAUCUGGGUACUCUACCCCCAUCUGCUUUAUUUCGGCUAGAUUAGCAAUAGGAUUAGCUAAAUCGUUCCUCAAAUUGGAUCCUAAGCCUGUCAGGCAAUUCACUGGUGUCGAUGUACUAGUCUGAUAAUAUUGGGAUCCGAUAGUAAAGAGUGCCCCUUGUGGGCGCCUAUCUGGCUGGACCUGGACACUUGUCGGAGUACAAUCUAAGGAAUAGACAAGAUCAUCAUUAUUAACCCUAAAGUAAACCACUGGGUCUUGCACUUCUUUUGACUUUCCAGCUAGCAAUCGGUUGAACUGGUUUAUCAUAGUUCUCCGUAAUUCUAGCAUCUGAUCUCUCAUCUCUUUUUGAAAUUUAGUCAUUUGCUCCUGCAUCUGGAUCUACAUUCGCUCUAAUUUUUCCAACCUUCGUUCCAUUUCUCUAGCCUUUGCUUGGAUAUCGUAAUGGUGUUUGGUUGUUUGGUUUUCCAAGUUAGCUGAAAUAAAUUUACUCAUUUAGACUCUUUCAAUGGAUUUUAAUGCAUGUAAUGCAAUGUGAUGCAAAUGCAUGAAAUGAAUGCCUAAAGAGACGUUGAUUCUGAUUCAAUUACAUUUAGAAAACUUUUCUAGAAAGCAAAUUCCCUUACAUAAAACAGAUACAUGUACGGCCUCACCCUCAUACUCCAAGAAACAACAUCGGUCUUUUUCUUCAUCCGCUUGUUUGAGGUAAUCUCGCCAAUAGAUGCCAUUGCUAGCUCCUUUUGAUCUUGGUCGUGAUCCAUCAUCUGCCCAUCUUCAUAAGGCUCGUCUGCUUCUUGGAACGUCGAAGGCUCUUAGACAAUCGCUUUGAAUCCUCAGGCCACGAAGCAGGGUCACGAACUCUUCCAUCGCCCUUCUUGCGUUCUUCAGAAUAUAUUUGGGAAGUUGUAUUAUUUUCCACCUUAUCAAGGAAUUCGUAUUCCAUGACAAGCUUUCUAAUUUAGUAAUCGAACUUGAAUCCAUAUCUCUUUCCUAAGAUGCAAAUGCAAUGUAAUGCAAUCAUAAUCAAAACACAACAAUAGGGGUUAGUACAAAACAUAAGCAAGCACAGAAAACAAAAAGUACCUAAUCAGGUAGAUACUAGGGGUUUGGAGUGGCUCUACCUAGGUUAAGUUCCUAAGUCUACUAUAUGAGGGUUGGUUCUAAAGUCAAGGUACCCGAACCAACAGAUUCCUCGAUCUUCACCCAUUAUAGGCUCAUACAGACAGAGUUCGGUUCAAGGGAAUACAUUUCCCGAUGGCUGCACGGAGAUGAAAAUCUCACGAAAGCAUAGGUACAGAUGUAUUCCGGAAGCGAUCCACUAUCCUGCACGAAGGUGAAAACCUCAAGAAGGACUAGUUUCUCACUCCCACCUAAAAGGUAAUAAUCGAGCGAUAAUGUAAUGCAACAUGCAGAAAUAUAUCAAAAUUCAAACCAAUAGAGCAAAUACAAACUGAAGUAAGGAUAAUCGUAACAAAAACGGACAAACAUACAACAAAAUGACCGUAGAUUUGAACCAAGCUUUCGGGUGACCUCUAGGCAUUUGGUGUGGUUCUACCUAGGGUAGGCUCUUAAGGCUCAUUAUAUGCGGUUCGGUUCUAAAGUAAGGGUACCUGAACCAGCAGAUUCCUCGAUCCUCACCCAUUAUAGGCCCAUACGGACUGAGUUCAGUUCAGGGGGAUACAUUUCCCUAUGGCCAUGCGGAGAUGAAAAUCUCACAAAUACAUAGGUACAGAUGUAUCCCGGAAGCGAUUUACUAUCCCAUGCGGAGGUGAAAACCUCACGAAGGCGUAGUUUUUCAUUCCCACUUAAAAGGGUGUGACCAACGGUCAUACAAUGCAAUGUGCUAAAAUAUACAUCUAAACGCAGUAAUUAUAAACAAAAUUAUAAAGACUGAAAUAAAAACGAAUGAAAUGCAACACAAGGAUCGUGUGAAGUUUUCAAUCUUUGACAAAAGACAAAAAGUAAUCAACACAUGGCUUGACUCUCGUAUUUUUCCCCAGCGGAGUUGCCAAGCUGUUGACACCAUUUUUUGGAUGAAAAAAAACGGGAUCGACUUGGGUUUUGACGAAAACGAAAAAACGGGAGUCGCCACCAAUCCUUUUUAAUGAGGUGUGAUUGGAUCACCUCAAAAAUUGGUUGUUUCUAAUAAACAGUUUAAUUUUAUUAAAACAACGCUUUUGGUCCAUGAAAUUCAGAAAACGAGUUCGGGAGUCGAUUACGUAUGAGGAAGGAUUAACACCCUCAUAACGCCCAAAAUUGGUACCUAGUUGAUUAGUUAAUGUCUUGAUGUCGAAAAUUGAUAACUUAAAAGAAUUUUAAAAAAUACGAUCCUUGAUUAAAACAUUAAGAGAAUUUUUUUGAGAAAAGAAGCACAUUUCACGUUAAUUGAGAAAUAUACGUCAUAUCCAGUGAAUUAGGAUACAAUGUAUCGAAUUCUCGAUGCGUAAAAAUGCUUGUUUAAAAGACAUUUUAGCUAUCUCGGAUUUAAAAAAAAUAGAUCACGACCAGUAAGUUAGGACGCGAUUUUUUUUUAAUUCCCGAUAUCAUUUAAAACUUGAGUUUAAAAAAAUUCGUGUAAUAAAGUUUAAAAGAAUAUUCAAUUGUUUAAAUCAAAUGAAGAAAUCGCAACCCAAUACGUUAAGGCACAAUUUCUCAAAAUAUUAAACAUUGAAUACUGCAUUUAUUUCGGAAAAAAAAACCUCAUCUCGAGAAAACAACGUGUCACAUCCAAUGCGUUAGGACACAACAUAUUGAAUUCUCGAUAACGAGCUUUUUAUCAUUUUUAAAAGAGUAAUCUCGAUUAUUUAAAUUCAACGAAGAAAAUCAGAACCCAAUAUGUUAGGGCUCGAUUCUCUCGAAGUUCCAAAUACCAAGUAUUAUUCAUAUUUUUAAAAUUUCUUCUUUUUUGAAAUCUAGAUAAAAAUAGGUGUAAUGGAAUAACAAUAAUGAUGAUGUAAUUAAAAUAAUACAAGCAAAGGCUACGAAGUAAAAUAAAUACAGAGACGAACUAAUAUAAUAUACAAUCACAAGCAUAUAAGCAAUAAAAUUAAAACAUUCAUUCUAAAUAAUGAAAAUGUAAAUGAAGAAAUGAACAAAGAAAAUGUAUAAAACUAUAAAAAAAUAAAACAUACAUAUAUGUGUAUAUACAUAAAAUUAUGAAAAUAUAAAAAAUAUAUGUAUGUACAUAUUUUAAAAUCAUUAUAAAAUAUAUAUAUAAGUAAACAUAUACAUAUAUACGUAUGUAACUAUCAUAAAAUAUAAAAAGUAUAUAUAUAGAUACAUAUAUAUAUAUGAGUCAUAGAAUAUAAAUAACAUAUAUAAGAUACAUAUUUAAAAUAUGAAGAAUGUAAGUAUAUUUAUAUUUAUGAAAAUAGAAUACAUAUAUAGACAUGUAUAUAGAUAUGUAUAAAAUUACGAAAUAUAAAAUAUAAGGGUAUUAGUAUGUGUAUAUAUAUAUAUAGACAGAUAGAUAGAUCAUAAAAAAAAUAUGGAUAUUAUAUAUAUAUAUAACAUGAAAACGCAUAUAUGUAUAUAUAACAAAGAUUCCAAAUAAAAAAUAAAUGAACAACUUAAUAAUAACAGUAAUAAUAUUAUUUUAUAAAAAAGGGAAAUAAACAAUAACAAAAGGACUAAAUUAAACAUUGAAACAAGAUUUGGGGUUUAAAAUUACAAAUAAAAGGUUCAAGGGCUGGAAUGAAUCACGCACAAAGUGCAAAGGACUGAUCGGACAAUAUGCCCAAGUCCUGAGGCACAACAUUCGUGCGCUGAUUAAAUUGAAUCAUGAAGAAAUUUCGUGGGGCCAAAUUAAAGAAAAUAAAUAAACAAGCAAAAGGACUAAAUUAAAACAAUCAACAACGAGGAAGGGCCAAGGGCAUAAAUAGCCCACUUCAUGAAAACGCGCGGAUCCCCUCCUACCGGGUCGGGUCGCACGCGGGUCCAGAGGCAGAACGACGUCGUUUCGACGCCCAUAUGCAGUCACAAAACGGCGCCGUUUCUAUUAUGGUAUUUAAGCCCAAUUUUCUACAAAAAAAAAAUUUCAGCAGCUGUUUGUUUUAAGAAAAAUCCAAAAAAAAAAAACUUUCCUCCCCUCUCAAACAUCCGGCCUUUAGGUCUCCUUAGCGCCGCCAUUGCGCCACUGUGGACGGUGGCCGGCAUUGCGCAAAAGGGGCGUUCUAGUCCCGGUUUUGAGACCCGAUCGAAGGCUUUACUCGCAUAGCCUGAAGAUCAAGAGGCAGGACCCCCUAACUCAAACUUUCGGGGCCGAUUUCAACGACGGGCAGACCCCGACGGCAGCGCAACCGAAAGACGAAACGGGUAAGUCCUCCUCUUCCUUUUUAUUUACUAUCUUUAUAUAUAUAUGUAUGUAAACAAAAAGAAAAGAGAACAGAAAAAGAACUUCAAAACUGAAAAGAAAAGAAAAGAAACCUUGAAUCUGUAUUUGUUUCUUUUUUCUCUAUUAAUGCCUUUUUUCUUUACAAAAAUCGGAACCCCCUUUACAAAGGUUUUUCAAUCGGUUUUUGAACCAAAAAUAAUACCCCCCAUUGCUUGUUGCUGUUGUUCUCUUUAUUAUUUGCAGGUGAAGCAGGUGGCGAUGGGACAAGGUGAACGGCGGUGGCAGAAGGCUAGGCUGCAGGAGGCGUACGGCGCUGAGCAAGGCAGGGAACCCUAGGGUUCCCUGAUGCUUGUUUAAUUUUUGGGCCCAAUUGGGCCAAUUUAGAUUUUGGGCAUUGGGCCUUGUGUUUUGGGUUGAAUUUAGCUUGUUAGGCUGGGGUAUUUUGGGUUAAUGGGCCCGGGCAAAUUUGGGCUUCUACAAAUAUAAUAUAUAUAUUAUUCCUUAAUGUGGGAUAAAAGUAGGCAGCUAUCUAUUAAUGAUACGGCUGAUUCUGAAAAGACGGCUGAAAUUGAAUCAAUGAGUUGUUGGUAUUUGCCUGAUGGAAGAACAGGGCCUAAUGUUACGUGGAUUCUGAUCAAGUUUUAAUUUUUCAGUUGUGGGCAUGACUGAUUGUUGCCAUUUGGUUGUUGAUCCUCUGAUUUUACGGUUGACUAUCUUGCUUAUACGUUGCUAUUGGUUGGCGGGUCUCAAGUAUGAAUUUCCAAGCCGGCUUUCAUCCAUAAUUAACUAGGUGUUCCAAUCCAUGGAGUUUAUGGUUUAUUAGUGUAACUGUCCAUUUGGUUAUGGAUUGGUUCUUAAGGUGUUUUGAUGCUUUGUAUGUUACAGUGUUUGCUCAACACCCUUUAAUUCUAAGGAAUUUUAUUCGUUGAGGAAAAAAAAAAUGAGGAUUACUCUGAUAUUUUAUGUUUGGGUUUAUGAAGAUUUUUGUAUGUUUAAUGAAAGAAAGCAAAUUAAAUAGAGACGUACAAGAUCACAUCCAUAGAUCAACAAAAGGGUUUAAUAUUUCCAUAAAAUAUUGUCCCAAAAAGGCCUUUUAAUGAGAAUUGAUCAUAUAAACUAAUGAAGGCCAUUGAAAAUAAAGCUUGUAAAAAAUUACAAAAGGAAUUGAUGAGAAUUUGUUGUGAUAAGAGUUUAUGGCCCUGUAGGAGCCUCUCCCCAAAUCGCUAGCAAAUGAAACAAAAGGAUUAAUGCACUUCGAUAAUGGCAGAUUUAUAUUUGUUACGAAAGGUCAAGAGCCCAAGCCAUCUCAUGCCACAGCUUUCCCUUAAAGCAUUCGUGGCUGAGUCUAGUAUUAAUUUUUAUUUGUAUCUUUUAUAUCCGUUUUAUAAUUCAUAUUUGGGAUUUGUAUUAUGCACUUAAUAUUUCAUUAUUUAUUGUCUAUGUUGCUCAUUGUUGCAAAAAGAAGAACCAAACACAAUGCAUGCAUAAACCAUAAAAAAGAGAAAAAAACAACAUAAGCAACUAAUAAUGAAAUAUAUUAAAAUGAAGAAUGGCAAUUGAUUUCAGAAUUACCCCAAUUUCGGUAAAUAUAUUAAAACAUGUGUCUCUAAUCUUUUUCAAUUUUGAUAUUGAAAAAAUUGGUAUUUCUAAAAAUAUCAGAGUUAUUCAAUCAUUUUCAUUUUUGAAAGUGAUAAGUCAAAGACAAUUAAUUACAACAUUAAUGUUUUUCAUCAAUUAUACAUAAUUUUCUUGGUAUAAUAAUAAAUUUAGCCCUCAAAGUUGACACAUCCUAUCAAUUUGUUAUUGAUUUAACUAAUUUAACCCACAAUAUUUACACAUUUUGUCAAUUUGAUCAUGAUUUAACAUAUUUAACCCGUAAUAAUUACACAUUCUAUCAACAUUUACACAAAAUAUAUAAUCAUCAAUGAUUAAAUUUAUUUUUCUACUAAUCAAAAUUAUGUAUAAUUAACAGAAACUACUAGCGCUUGAUUAAUUGUUCAUGGUUACUUUCAAAAUUGAUAAGGAUUAAAUUACUCUAUUUCUUUUAGAGUGACCAAUUUGUUCAAUAUCAAAAAGAUAUUUUUUAUUUAUUUUAAUUUCAUAGGUAAGAAAAUCUCAAAAAAGAAAAUCUUUGAAAUAAAAAAAAGUAUGUUUUAUAUAAUUAUUUAAAGUUACUCUCACAUUAUUUUUUACCCAUUCAAAGCUAGCAAGUCUUUUAUGUACAAAUGGUGUAGCUCUGCAAUUUGGAUUAACAUGUUGGUGACCUCCAUGUGAAGUGAAAGAAAAUAGACAAUGUCACACAAUUAUUAUUUUUCCCUCCGUACCCCUAUGCCACCAAAGAAAGUUGAAUUAUCAAGGCACAAAAGCACUAAGGAGUAGGAGCUAGAAAAAGAGGGGCAUGAAAAUAAAAAGAGUCAAAUUAUUAUUUGACGGAAACGUUAAAUUUUGAAAUACAUAUAACAAUCCACGUGUGUUUCAUAUAUAUCUUUUUAAUUUUUAUGAUUUUUUUUGAAAUUUUGAUUUUUGAAUACUAUUAGAAAAUUAUUUGGUACAUUGUUAGUGGAGUUUUUAAACUCCACCAACAAAAUCAAUGGGUUGACAAGUGUCUUACAGAGGUAAAUAAAAUAUUAAAAAAUAAAUAUUUUAAAAAAAAGAUAUAUGUCAAUUUUUUAAAGUUACUUGUGAAAUAAAAAUAAUAUAUUAUCAGCGUACCAAAUACUCACAUUUUUAAUUAAGAUUUAAAAAUAAAAAAUAUAUAGUUACUAAAAUGAAUGGGUUGCAAAUUGAGAAAUUUGAUAUUGAAUAUUAAAAUUUUCUUAAAAAGAAGACAAGAUACAAAAGUUAGUGACUUAUUUGAUUUUAUUUUAAUUUUUAAAUUUAUGCAUUUUAUUAUGAAUUUUUAUUCUUUGUGUACUCUGUAAAAUUUGUCUGAAAUUUCUAAUUUUUAAUUUUUCACAUGAGUUUAAGAUAGAAAAAAUUUACUCUUAGGAUUGGUGAAACAAGGGUUACAAUCGAUACAAGAGUUCAGUUUACGAUAUGUAGAUGAUUUUGUUCUUCGAAAUAUUGUCUACAGGUAGGAUAUCGGAAAUCUAUUAUCAUAGUUUUGUUAAAAGGUCGAGAGUUCUAUUUUGGCCUAAGACUCUAGGAAUUCUAUUAUCGAUAUUCUAAUUAUGAUCAUGAUCUGUAAAAGAUAUGAGUAACAUGUGAUAUGUAAAUGAAGAGUUUUAUGGUAUGAUAAGCCAUAAAUUAAGUGAAAAUGUAAGGAAGUGUAUGAUUAUAUGAAAGACAAAAAUAAUUAAUUUAGUUUAAUGAUCUGUAAAAUUGAAAAGUGAAAUACAUGAAUUAUAUAAGAGAAUGUUCAUGAUCGACAUGCGGUGUGUAAAUGAUAAGGAAAAAAUUAUAUGACCAAAAUAGUAGAAAUGAAUAAUGAAAUUAGUUAAAUACUUUGUAAGUUCAAAAGUAGGUUGCAUUAAAUAAAUAGAUUUAUUAGUCAGAAUAGUAAUCAGUCCGGCAUGCACGCUCUCUUCAGUGAGAAGGUGAUUUAUUUCAUUACUCUUACACUCUUGCAUAAAUCUGUUGAUUUGUCCUUGUUUUUUUUUCUGCCUUCAUUACUUGAGCUAACCUUAUUAUGGGCAUGGAUUAUAUAUAUAUAUGAAUAGGUUGCAGUUCCUAGCUUGGAAAAGCUGAAUAUCUGGGACUUGAAUGUGAAGAUGAUAUUUUAUAAUGACCUAGCACCAGGUUCCUUUAAAAAUCUACGAGAAAUAAUCGUUUGUGGAUGUGGGAGCUUGAAAAAUCUAUUUCCAGUAUGAAUAGCCAAAGAUCUUCCACAACUUGAACUUUUAUGCAUCAGGGGUUGUCGAGUUGAGGAGAUUGUAUCGAAAGGGGAUGGAGUGGAGGAGCAGCCUGUGAGGUUUGAGUUUCCGCAAGUAUCUUUCCUUGAGGUUAGAUGGGUAGCAAAGCUCAAAUGUUUCUAUGAAGGGCAACAUACAAUAGUCUGGCCGAUGUUGAAAAAAUUGGAAACAGAUAGUUCUGCUUUGCUAAAGAUAGUGGCAUGGGAACAUCUUAGAUUAAUCCAAGGAAAUGAGGAGCCAGUUUUGUUGGGUGAAGAGGUAUGUAUAUCAUUACAAAUAUAUUUCAUUUUAUGAUUUAAACCACUGCCACAAGCAUCUCAAGUUGAAAUAUGCCACGAUCAUGCAUUUCUAAUUAUUAUAUUUUGUUUGAUUUUUUUUUUUUGAAUUUUUUGUUACAUUUAUAAUUAUUUUUUCAAUUUUUUUAAAAACAAGACUGAAUAAACAUAAUAGGUAAAUAUUGAGUGAAUGCAGUUCAAUUUGAUAAAAUGUAUAAAUAUUGAGGGUUAAUUUUAUUAUUAUGUAAAAAAAAUACUAAAAAUAAAAAUAAAAAUAUUUUAUCUGUUUUUAAGUAACCAAAAUGAAAAUAUUUUAACACUAAGUGACUAUAUAUGUAAUUUACCCUGCAUUUAAGUAGUGGAUCGAAACUAAAUAGGACCUUUAAUUUGCUAAAAAAAAAUUGCCACUCAAUAAAAAAAUCAAAACUUUAAAAGUUAAUUACACUAGACAUCUCAAACUAUGACCUUCAUUUUAAAUUAGUCCUAAAAUUUAAAACUAUUGAGGUUAUAUCAAUUACGUCUUUCUGUUAUUAAAUUCGUUAAUUUAACCAUCAAAUUAAAUCAGUGUAAUAUUUUAAAACCUUGGUGUUUUAUCUCCACUGUUCUGCUUAUAUUUUUUAUCAUAGAAAAUAAAUAUAUAUAUAUAUAACAAUGGUUGUUUAUCUAUUUUAAUCUAGAUUUGCUACUCUUCUUUCGGCUUUUAUGUUCUGUAAUUUUUAUCAGUUUUAAUUCUCAAUGUAUUGUGUUUUCUUAAAACAAAAAAUUCAUCUAUUCUGGAUUUGUUUGAUUUAAUAUUGAUUUUGUUGGGAUUUAAUCAUCAAAAUCAAACACUAAAAUUGUAAAUUUUUUUUUGUUUGUUUGUUUGUUUAAAGCAUAUACAUCAACAUUGAGCCUAACUUGUUUAUAUUUAAUUGGUUUCCAAGGUCAUUCCCAAAUUAGAGGAACUUGAGUUACUAAAUUUUGGUGAUAUGGACCAAUUUCCACCAAACUUGUUUCAACAUAUUAAAGUUUUUGCAGCGAGUGAUGGCUCUCCAUUUUCUAUAUUUCCUUUCGUCCGAAGAUUCUACAAUCUGGAAAGACUUGAGUUCACUUGUUUAGAUUUCAAACAUGUAGUCCCUUGUAAAGGAGACGCCGGGACUCUCCCACCAAUUAGAAAUCUGGAAUUGUUUUCUGCCAGAAAUCUUAAUCAUAUUUGGAGGAAAGAUUCGGAGCUUGACCAUAUUCUUUCUAAUCUUCAAACACUCACAGUUCAUAGUUGUGAUGAUUGGAUAAAUAUUAGAGUCUUCUCAUCAUCUUUGCAAAAUCUCACAAUUGAAUGUGUCAUUUUGUAAAAUGAUGACAAACUUAGUCACACCCUCAGUACUUAAGAAUCUUGUGCAAUUAACGACAAUAAAGGUAGAAUACCGCACUAAAAUGACAGAAGUAGUGGGAAACGAGGGAGACUGUCAUCAGACAAUAGUUGUUAGUAAAUUGAAAUGUUUACAACUAUGCAAUUUGAAGAGCCUCACAAGCUUUUGUCCACGGUAUUACAGCUUCGAGUUUCCUUGUUUGGAAGAAUUAGUUGUGGAAGAUUGUCCUAAGUUAAAGAUCUUUUCUGAGGGAGUUUUAAGCACCCCACAAUUACAGAGAAUAAAACAGUCGAGUUACCGUGAGAAAUGGAGUUGGACAAGUGACCUUAAUACCACCAUAAAACAGUUAUACACAGAAAAGGUACAAAGUUAAUAAGUUCAUAAUGCUACCUAGAUUCCUCGUGUCCUAAUACAAUUAAUUUUAUUACUACUUCAAUAACCAUUGAAGAGUGUUAAUCGUUACUUUGUUAUUGUCUGCAUUUUCUAUUUAUGAUUGCUAUCUAGUGGAAUAAUAUCAGAUUAAUUUUUAGGAUGGACUCUAUAACCCAUAUGAUUUCAACAUCUCUGACACAUUUCCGGAGUCGAUAGAAAUAUGGACUAGAAACCCUCAAGAAAUUUUGGGCAUCAAAAACCUUAGCAGCCUGCAGUUUAUAAAUGUAGCAGCUUUAAGUACAUAUUUACUCCGUCUAUGCUUUUGGGCCUCAAUCUACUACGAAGGAUAAAAGUGAGAGAAUGCAGUUCAAUGGAACAAGUAGUUAGGGAGGUGGAGGAAGCAAUGACACAUAAAUUUACAUUUCUUUCGCUACGCUCCGUAACAAUUGAGUCGUGUUCCAACUUGACAAAUUUCCAUUUGGGAAGUCAAGCUCUUGAAUUUCCACAGCUGUUGAAAAUCACGAUAGCUGAGUGUCCAAAAAUGACUGCAUUUUCUUCCUCAGUUUCAAGAGAGAGUGGUGAUGCAAGCGAAAACGUGGUUGGCAAAGGGGGCAUCUAUGAUAACACUGCAACUUUUUUCAGCAAUAAGGUAAGUUUGGUAUUCAAUAUUUAUCUGCACAACUUAUUUCACAUUUUCUUUUGAUUUGAUCAACAUGAGUGUGUCUGGUCUACAUAUCCAUACUAGUGCUACACCUUGUCAAAAUUUAAUAUAAUAAAAUCCAUAAAAAUAUUAAUAAAUAAGAUGAUGUUUAAAAAAAAAUUGGAGUUUAAAGUAUAAAUAAAUAUAUAAAAUAAGAAUUGAAGGAAAAACUUAAAGUGAAAUACUAAAAAACAAUAAGAAUUUAAGAGAAGUUUAAAAUUAAAUAGUAAUAGACAAUAAAUAAUAAAAUAAUAAUAGAAAAAAGAAAACUAAUCUUCCUUCAUUUUAAUUUGUGGGUGUAUAAGAAGGAGAUAAUUGUGGAAGACCUUCACAAAGGUCAUUUGAGAUCAAAGGAGAAGAAGCCUGAAAACAAAACGUGAGGAGUUUGAAGAAGAAAGAACCAAAUAUAUAGAGGAGAAUUGAAGUGAGAGAGUGGAUGGGUUUUAUUUAAAGAUUUAUUGCUUUUUUUUUAAUUUCAUAUAUAGAAAAAAUCAUUGAAAGAAAAAAAAGUUUAAUAUAAUUAUUUAAAUUUACUUGUCGGGUUUUUAUAAAAGUAACUCAAUUUUUUGAUUAAUUAUGAAAAUGACUCAAUUUAAAAAUAAUGUACAUAAAUUAUUCGAUUUCUAUAGUGUUUGUCGGUGCCUCCAAACACAAUGGCGGCACCGACCUACCAUCAUCGAUCAAUGAUUGUAUUUUAUUUAAAAAAUAAUAGUUUUUUAGUAGUGUUGUUGGAAAAAUUGGCGAAAUCAGACUGAAGUGUGAUUAUAUAAAAUGUUCAUGGACUUAAUGAAGUAAUUACCCUUUUUUAAUUAGCGGAAAAAGGGAUCUUCCCGUGAAUAUGUGGCACCAAAUUAAAUGAUUUUCAUCUUUUGGUCUAUUUGCAUGUUAGGUCUAUCCCCUUUUGAAAUUAAAUUUAAAUAACCCUUAAGAAAUAUAAGAAUAACAAAAAUAAAUCAUUCUCAUUUAUUUUAUUUUAUUUUAAAAAAAUAAACUUAAAAAAUUAUAUAAAAUUCUUAUUUAAAUUACCCAAAUAUAUCCCUCACACAAUUUCCUCAAGUUUAUCUAAAUUCAAGCAUUUUCAAUUUAUUCCCUAGCAUAUUUAAAUUUAGAUAAACUUAAGGAAAUUUUUUAAGAAAUAUAUUUGGGUAAUUUGAAUUAGAAUUUUAUAUAAUUUUUUAAGUAUUUUUUCAAAAAAAAAAAGGGAGGAAUUGGUUGAAGAACAUCAAGGGAGGAGUCAGAUGUUUUUCUCUGAACUAGAAUUGCUGUGGCUAAAAGACCUUCCCAAACUCACAAGUUUCUGCUUUGAGAAUUGCUUUGAAUUCCAAUGUUUGACAGUUUUGGAACUAACAAAUUGUCCAUUGCUAAAAACAUUCAUCUCUAAAUGUGUACCCGGAGAUGAACCUCAAAUUGGCCAACAU
This 23224-nucleotide long non-coding RNA is filed under the name Gossypium barbadense (sea-island cotton). RNAcentral's name for it is "long non-coding RNA (GBAR_LNC020361)". The stretch from base 17816 to 17860 matches the Rfam family "Histone 3' UTR stem-loop". Lineage: Eukaryota; Viridiplantae; Streptophyta; Magnoliopsida; Malvales; Malvaceae. The record is from RNAcentral.